RNAcentral lists this ribosomal RNA (492 nucleotides) under uncultured bacterium. RNAcentral's name for it is "partial 16S ribosomal RNA". It matches the Rfam family "Bacterial small subunit ribosomal RNA", at positions 29 to 507 of the family's 1533-position model. The record is from RNAcentral.
AGUGAACGCUGGCGGUAGGCCUAACACAUGCAAGUCGAACGGCAGCACAGUAAGAGCUUGCUCUUACGGGUGGCGAGUGGCGGACGGGUGAGGAAUACAUCGGAAUCUACUUUUUCGUGGGGGAUAACGUAGGGAAACUUACGCUAAUACCGCAUACGACCUACGGGUGAAAGCAGGGGAUCUUCGGACCUUGCGCGAUUGAAUGAGCCGAUGUCGGAUUAGCUAGUUGGCGGGGUAAAGGCCCACCAAGGCGACGAUCCGUAGCUGAUCUGAGAGGAUGAUCAGCCACACUGGAACUGAGACACGGUCCAGACUCCUACGGGAGGCAGCAGUGGGGAAUAUUGGACAAUGGGCGCAAGCCUGAUCCAGCAAUACCGCGUGGGUGAAGAAGGCCUUCGGGUUGUAAAGCCCUUUUGUUGGGAAAGAAAAGCAGCAGGUUAAUACCCCGCUGUUCUGACGGUACCCAAAGAAUAAGCACCGGCUAACUUCGUG